RNAcentral lists this long non-coding RNA (1154 nucleotides) under Homo sapiens (human). Its description in RNAcentral is "long non-coding RNA NONHSAT203644". The record is from RNAcentral. Lineage: Eukaryota; Metazoa; Chordata; Mammalia; Primates; Hominidae.
UGAGGGUCCACCUUGCCACCUCCGUUUGCCUCAGUCCUCAUGGAGCCCUGGCUCCACUGUCUGCUGGCUUCUCCCCAUCUACUCUGUGUCACUCCAUCCGACCACCAUUGUCUCCAUCAGGACAGUUGGAACACCUCUUCUCAGCACUCUCGCCCCCACCCAGUCCACCCCCUACCUGACAGCCAGAGUGGGCCAUGCCAGAUGCAACCCAGGUCAUGCCACACAGGUAGAUAAAACCAUCUUCAGCCCAGCCCUCAGGCCCUGUGUGCUGGGACCCUGCUGGGCCCUCUCCAGCCUCCCCCUGCGCCAGGCCUCCUCCGUCACUUCACUCUGGCCCUGCUGUUCUUUUCCUUUUAGUUUGAUUAACUCACUCUGCCCAUUCCAUGCUCAAAGCUGUUUCCGUGAGGAAAGGCUCCUCCUGCUCAUUUUAGUGCCCUGAAAUGUCACUUCCUUGAGGAAGUCUUCCUUGACCCUCCACACCAAACCAGGCCCCCUGCCACACCCCUCAGAGCUCUCCUUGGAAGGCACUGGCAUGGCUGUUUGCGUGAUUCCUUGAACGUUGUCUGUCUCUCCUCCUCACCAGGCUGUGGGUCCUGUCUGUUUCUGGUGACCGUUGUCUGUCUAACCCCUAGAGGAGAGUUUGUCACAUGGUAGGAGCUUAAUAAAUAUGUGUUGGAUGAAUGAUCAGAGAAAAGAGAGUGCAGAGAGUGGCCAAAACAGAUGCUUUCAGCAGUGUAUCUGCCAAUAAACCUAAAGGCAUGAUUUGCCCUGGUGAUCCCCCCAGAGGUGCUUAGUCUCUUGGCUGAAUUCCUUCUGGAAUCCCCAGAAUCCCCCUCCUUGGAAGUUUUCCCAGGAGUCUGAGGCAGGCAGGUCUCUCAGUCACGGCCACAUGACCUCAAGUGAAAACAAACCAGUCUGGCUGUUCACAGACUCAGCUGGUCAGAGCUCUGGCCCGAGGGGCCCACGCACCACCCGCCACUGCAGAAGACGCCUCCACGUCUGUCUCUGGGCUGCCUCCACCUUCUGCAGGCCUCCUGGAGCCUCUGCUGGCUGCAGAAGUGGGGUGCAUGCUGCCUGGAGGAGGAACAUCUGUGGUGGGACCCCAAAUCCAUGUUUGUGUUACCAUCGUGUUCCAAUAAAACUAUCGAAACAGA